AAGGGAGACCUAAUUCAGGUAAAAGACGAAAAAAAAGUAGUCGCUACCAAGAAUCAAUCCCAAAAGGUCGGAGCGAGGCGAAAUUGGCUUUCAAACUAGGUUCUGGGUUCAAACAAGACCUGAAUCAGGAACAAGGGCUAUUAGCUCAGGUGGUUAGAGCGCACCCCUGAUAAGGGUGAGGUCCCUGGUUCGAGUCCAGGAUGGCCCACCUGUACAGGUGGCAAAAAGAAAGAAAAGAAGCGAGGAAUCAGCACCUUAUCUUAUUUAUAUAGUAAGAGAGAAUGCUGGCUCUGAGUAAAGAGUCCAGAGGAACCUUGAAAACUGCAUAGAGCUAGGUGAAAAAGCCAAAAAAGAAGACCGCAAGGUCAAGCUAAUAAGGGCUAACGGUGGAUACCUAGGCAC
This 402-nucleotide transfer RNA is filed under the name uncultured Microcystis sp. Its description in RNAcentral is "partial contains 16S-23S ribosomal RNA intergenic spacer, and 23S ribosomal RNA". The stretch from base 135 to 208 matches the Rfam family "tRNA". The record is from RNAcentral. Lineage: Bacteria; Bacillati; Cyanobacteriota; Cyanophyceae; Chroococcales; Microcystaceae.